Non-coding RNA from Triticum urartu, 431 nucleotides. NCBI's taxonomy places the organism in Eukaryota, Viridiplantae, Streptophyta, Magnoliopsida, Poales, Poaceae. The record is from RefSeq and is a predicted model, not a curated record.
CAUGGACAACGCGAGGAAGAUUUGGUCUACCCAAUGCGGCGAUGAGGCGUCUGAUGAACGUAUAGUCUAUCCGAUUGGAGGCUCUGCGGAAGAAGAACACGGAGAACACCUCUCUUCCUUUACAUCUAAAAUUGAAUUUACAGGUUGUCUUAGAAAAUCGACAGCUGAAGGUGACUAUUUCAAUUCUUAUAAUCAAGAGCUACAAACUUCUUCUAGCUCCAAAACAAGGCAGGUAAUGCAACUUAUGCAAGUAAGUGGAGGAUGCCCAAAAGAUUCAGAAGGGUGUGAUGACUGCUUUGAAAAGGCAUCACUUCCUAACAUAAGCGAAGAGGAGAAGAGGAAGAUCCUUCACUUUGUGAUUAUUGGUGGUGGACCCACUGGGGUUGAAUUUGGUGCAGAGCUGCAUGUUUUUCUUAUCGAAGAUAUGGUGA